This 253-nucleotide ribosomal RNA is filed under the name uncultured bacterium. Its description in RNAcentral is "partial 16S ribosomal RNA". It matches the Rfam family "Bacterial small subunit ribosomal RNA", at positions 524 to 776 of the family's 1533-position model. The record is from RNAcentral.
CACGUAGGGCGCAAGCGUUGUCCGGAAUUAUUGGGCGUAAAGAGCUCGUAGGCGGUCUGUUGCGUCCGCUGUGAAAACCCAGGGCUUAACCCUGGGCUGGCAGUGGAUACGGACAGACUAGAGGUAGGUAGGGGAGAAUGGAAUUCCCGGUGUAGCGGUGAAAUGCGCAGAUAUCGGGAGGAACACCGGUGGCGAAGGCGGUUCUCUGGGCCUUACCUGACGCUGAGGAGCGAAAGCGUGGGGAACGAACAGG